UACGUAGGGGGCAAGGCGUUGUCCGGAUUUAUUGGGCGUAAAGAGCUCGUAGGCGGCUCAGUAAGUCGGGUGUGAAAGCCCCGAGCUCAACUCGGGGAGGCCACCCGAUACUGCUGUGGCUAGAGUCCGGUAGGGGAGCGUGGAAUUCCCGGUGUAGCGGUGAAAUGCGCAGAUAUCGGGAGGAACACCAGCGGCGAAGGCGGCGCUCUGGGCCGGAACUGACGCUGAGGAGCGAAAGCGUGGGGAGCGAACAGG
This 255-nucleotide ribosomal RNA is filed under the name uncultured bacterium. RNAcentral describes it as "partial 16S ribosomal RNA". It matches the Rfam family "Bacterial small subunit ribosomal RNA", at positions 524 to 776 of the family's 1533-position model. The record is from RNAcentral.